Molecule: long non-coding RNA, 1005 nt
Filed under: Olea europaea subsp. europaea
Lineage: Eukaryota; Viridiplantae; Streptophyta; Magnoliopsida; Lamiales; Oleaceae
Source: RNAcentral
CCUACGUCAUUUCAUCCUACCAAAAUUUUCAAACUAAUCAUUUUUAACUUUUCCUUCUCUCUAAAUCUCUUCAUUCCCUCUCUAUAUUUCUAUUCUCUUCUCUCUCUACUGGGCCACCACUAAAGCACUAUUGGCAUUAAGCUUACGACACUUUCGAUAGGUCAACAUCUCUGAUUUAAAGUCACCGAAGGGAAAAAAGAGUUGACACGUAGCACCACACGGGGUCGUGAGAAGCGACACUGUCGUUCGUAGAUCUACUUCAAUUUUCUACCAUUGAGCCUUUGACCAUGGCAUUGACGUCGAAGAUGGGAAAAUGCAAGGCCAAGCAAAAACAAUCAAUGAGGAGGAAGAAGAAGAAGACAGCUUGAGAAGCAGCCAGAGGUAGUUGAAGUAGAGCCGAUUGAAGUCGCCAAGCGUUUUGGUUUUUGGAUUUGAUGUGAGAGCGAUUGCACACAGCCAGUGACGUUCUAUUAUGUUGAUAGCGAGGUGAUGGCGUUUGUCGAUCUGAUUUGUUGGUUUUUUUGGGGUAUGAUUUUGUUGAAGGCAAUGAUGGCGGUGGUUGUGAUGGUGAAGUGGUGGUAGUUUUAUUGGUGGUUGGGCAACAGUUUUGUUGAUUUUUGGACGAUGAUAUUGUUGGUGUUUGGACAGCAAUUGGUGUGCCUACAAUCUGGUGUUUUGGCGAGCGUUGUUAGAUCCUCGUGGUGGCGGCGGCGACUAUGGUUUUGCUGGUGGUUAUAGUUGUGAGGUCGUGGUUUUGAAGUUGACAAUGGUAGUUUGUUGGAGGUGGUGGUGGUGGUGAUGUGAUGGUGAUUGUGGCUUAACGAUGGUAGUGAGAUGGAGCUGCAUUCGAUUGGUGCCAUGGUGGGAUGGAGUUGCCUAGAGUAGGUGGUGGGAUUAAAAGUGUUUGUGACCAAUUAUUUAAGAUUGUAACAAAUAAAUUGGAUAUUUUGUGACCGAAAAAUAACAUGUGUCCUAUAAAAUUAUAAUAAAUAAAUAAUAUGUGAC